GACAGGCAGUGUGAACGUUAUUCGGAUUGAUUGGGCGUAAAGGGUAUGUAGGCGGAUCUUAAUAACGAAGGACGAAAAGCUAGAGUAUACUUUUAGACAAGGACCUUCCAGAUUAUUUGGUCUUGAGUUAAUCAGGCGUUUGAGUUAUCUCUCAUGUAAGGGUCAUAUCUUUAGAGAUGGGACAGACCGCCGGCGGCGAAGGCUUCUUUCGAUGGUUAACUGACGCUGAGGUACGAAAGUUUGGGGCGCAAACCGG
This 256-nucleotide ribosomal RNA is filed under the name uncultured bacterium. RNAcentral describes it as "partial 16S ribosomal RNA". It matches the Rfam family "Bacterial small subunit ribosomal RNA", at positions 524 to 776 of the family's 1533-position model. The record is from RNAcentral.